This 253-nucleotide ribosomal RNA is filed under the name uncultured bacterium. Its description in RNAcentral is "partial 16S ribosomal RNA". It matches the Rfam family "Bacterial small subunit ribosomal RNA", at positions 524 to 776 of the family's 1533-position model. The record is from RNAcentral.
UACGUAGGGUCCAAGCGUUGUCCGGAUUUACUGGGCGUAAAGAGCGCGCAGGCGGUCGUUCAAGUCGCGUGUGAAAGCCCCCCGGCUCAACUGGGGAGGGUCACGCGAUACUGAUCGACUCGAAGGCAGGAGAGGGUAGUGGAAUUCCCGGUGUAGCAGUGAAAUGCGUAGAGAUCGGGAGGAACAUCAGUGCGAAGGCGGCUCUCUGGACCAGCACUGACACUGAGGCACGAAAGCGUGGGGAGCAAACAGG